AACUGAGUGUUUACCAAGCAGCGUUCCGUGGUUUGGGGCUUGUAUAAAUAAAAGAUAGACCGAUGAGAAAGUCCAAACGGAAAGACCGGCUUGGAAUGCCUCCCUUGGCCGGGGUGGGGGCGGGCCGUGGCCGACAUUUUUCCAGCCCAGAAGGAAAAAGAUAGCACUGUGUUUCCAGCACCUCUGAGGCAUGAGUCGCGGAGAAACGCUACACACAGCGUGGGCCUCGUGCCGACAGAUCUUAUGGUGAUUUCCUGCAGCAGCCACAGGACGCUGCGACAAAUGGAAAGGAAAGGAUCGCGCGGGGCUCAGGCGGGAUCCUUGCCCGGGUCUGCAUACGCUGGGUCUGGAGACGUCUUCGCGUAGACACUUGGUUAAGUGCACGCCUGCGGGCCAACCACAACACUGGGAAUCCGUCUCCUGCCGAGAUCUGUUGGUUCCGGAAAGAUCGUGCCUCCGGGUGUGAGAAACAACCAGUACAGAUCGUUUCGGUGAUUUGCCCCCAAGGUUUCCGAACUGAGAAGGAUGCACGCUGACCAUGGGGCAGAGGCUGGGGCAAGGUGGCGCCUGUCCCUCUGGCCUCGCGCUGCACGCCUCGGUCAGAGAAGGGCGGUGCGGCCUGGGGGGCAGGGCCAUCCCAGGCGAGGCCCCGCCAUGCCACAGCGACACCACCACACGGGGCCUGCCGGUCCACCCGGCAACCGAGGGAUUUGGCCACAGCCUCCCGCCCUUCCUUCCAGAGCUGAGACCCAGAGAUGCACAAUAAUUUGAAAUCCUCCUUCUCUCAGUGUUUAUAGAGUAGCAAUAAAAUGGCCUUUGGAUCCUUC
Molecule: long non-coding RNA, 827 nt
Organism: Neofelis nebulosa (Clouded leopard)
Lineage: Eukaryota; Metazoa; Chordata; Mammalia; Carnivora; Felidae
Exons: 2
Source: RefSeq, a predicted model, not a curated record